GUGAGGAAUAUUGCGCAAUGGAGGCAACUCUGACGCAGCCAUGCCGCGUGCAGGAAGAAGGCGCUACGCGUUGUAAACUGCUUUUAACCGGGAAGAAACCCCAGGACGUGUCCUGGGUUGACGGUACCGGAGGAAUAAGCACCGGCUAACUUCGUGCCAGCAGCCGCGGUAAUACGACGGGUGCAAGCGUUAACCGGAUUCAUUGGGUUUAAAGUGUGCGUAGGUGGAGCGUUAAGUCAGUGGUGAAAUCCUGCAGCUUAACUGUAGACUUGCCAUUGAUACUGGCGCUCUUGAGUGCGCUUGAAGUGGGCGGAAUGUGCCGUGUAGCGGUGAAAUGCUUAGAUAUGGCACAGAACACCAAUUGCGAAGGCAGCUCACUAAGGCGAUACUGAAGCUGAGGCACGAAAGCGUGGGGAUCGAACAGGAUUAGAUACCCUGGUAGACC
RNAcentral lists this ribosomal RNA (445 nucleotides) under uncultured bacterium. Its description in RNAcentral is "partial 16S ribosomal RNA". It matches the Rfam family "Bacterial small subunit ribosomal RNA", at positions 354 to 796 of the family's 1533-position model. The record is from RNAcentral.